UCAAGGAUCCAUCACACUGUUUGCGCUUCUUUAAAUCUCCGACCAACACGCUAUAGUAUCAAGCUGUAUGGAAAACGUUAUGGACCGACUGGAGGUUUGAAUGUGAAAAGUGGAUUUUUUCUCAUGACGUCCAUAUUUAAAGUUUUGAAUCUAUCCAAGACAUACGGAUAACUUGGGGGUUAACAUGGUUAAAAUGGCGAAGAAGAAUAACAAAUUUCUGCUACCUUGACGUUGACGAGAAACUGCAGGACCUGACCAUGUUGACAGCAAUAUUUGUCAACAUGCAGAGGAGUUUUUUUGGACCCCAAUACAUUAAAAGACAAGUGUCCUGAUCCAGAUAUUAAUGGUAUUAAAUGCAGUUUUUCCAAGAAAGCAAAACAAUGGAGCAGAACUGAAGUGUUAUUUCAAUAGAACCAUGAUCUGAUUGAUCAAGUGAAAGAUGAUACCAGUUGUGAACGUUGUCGAAACACUACAGCAAGCAAAGAGAGUAGUAAUCAUCAAUACAUGUAUUACUCCUGUUAAUAUU
Saccostrea cuccullata (small rock oyster) is the source of this 526-nucleotide long non-coding RNA. RefSeq lists it as uncharacterized. The record is from RefSeq and is a predicted model, not a curated record. Lineage: Eukaryota; Metazoa; Mollusca; Bivalvia; Ostreida; Ostreidae. The transcript is spliced from 3 exons.